RNAcentral lists this ribosomal RNA (125 nucleotides) under Citrobacter freundii. RNAcentral describes it as "partial 16S ribosomal RNA". It matches the Rfam family "Bacterial small subunit ribosomal RNA", at positions 1419 to 1533 of the family's 1533-position model. The record is from RNAcentral. RNAcentral also lists the same sequence under 8 other names. Lineage: Bacteria; Pseudomonadati; Pseudomonadota; Gammaproteobacteria; Enterobacterales; Enterobacteriaceae.
AAAAGAAGUAGGUAGCUUAACCUUCGGGAGGGCGCUUACCACUUUGUGAUUCAUGACUGGGGUGAAGUCGUAACAAGGUAACCGUAGGGGAACCUGCGGUUGGAUCACCUCCUUACCUUAAAGAA